RNAcentral lists this ribosomal RNA (766 nucleotides) under uncultured bacterium. RNAcentral describes it as "bacterial SSU rRNA". It matches the Rfam family "Bacterial small subunit ribosomal RNA", at positions 28 to 776 of the family's 1533-position model. The record is from RNAcentral.
AUUGAACGCUGGCGGCAGGCCUAACACAUGCAAGUCGAGCGGCAGCGACUUAACUGAACCUUCGGGGAACGUUAAGGGCGGCGAGCGGCGGACGGGUGAGUAAUGCCUGGGAAUAUGCCCUGAUGUGGGGGAUAACUAUUGGAAACGAUAGCUAAUACCGCAUAAUCUCUUCGGAGCAAAGAGGGGGACCUUCGAGCCUCUCGCGUCAGGAUUAGCCCAGGUGGGAUUAGCUUGUUGGUGAGGUAAUGGCUCGCCAAGGCGACGAUCCCUAGCUGGUCUGAGAGGAUGAUCAGCCACACUGGAACUGAGACACGGUCCAGACUCCUACGGGAGGCAGCAGUGGGGAAUAUUGCACAAUGGGGGAAACCCUGAUGCAGCCAUGCCGCGUGUGUGAAGAAGGCCUUCGGGUUGUAAAGCACUUUCAGUAGGGAGGAAGGUAGUGUAGUUAACACCUGCAUUAUUUGACGUUACCUACAGAAGAAGCACCGGCUAACUCCGUGCCAGCAGCCGCGGUAAUACGGAGGGUGCGAGCGUUAAUCGGAAUUACUGGGCGUAAAGCGCAUGCAGGCGGCCUGUUAAGUCAGAUGUGAAAGCCCGGGGCUUAACCUCGGAAUUGCAUUUGAAACUGGCAGGCUAGAGUCUUGUAGAGGGGGGUAGAAUUUCAGGUGUAGCGGUGAAAUGCGUAGAGAUCUGAAGGAAUACCGCGAAAGCGGCCCCCUGGACAAAAGACUGACGCUCAGAUGCGAAAGCGUGGGGAGCAAACAGG